CUACGGAGGGUGCAAGCGUUACUCGGAAUCACUGGGCGUAAAGCGCGCGCAGGCGGGCUGAUAAGUUGGAUGUGAAAGCCUACGGCUCAACCGUAGAACUGCAUCCAAAACUGUCAGUCUAGAGUCUGGGAGGGGAAGAUGGAAUUAGUUGUGUAGGGGUAAAAUCCGUAGAGAUCACUAGGAAUACCAAAAGCGAAGGCGAUCUUCUGGAACAGUACUGACGCUGAGGCACGAAAGCGUGGGGAGCAAACAGGAUUAGAAACCCUAGUAGUCC
RNAcentral lists this ribosomal RNA (274 nucleotides) under uncultured bacterium. RNAcentral's name for it is "partial 16S ribosomal RNA". It matches the Rfam family "Bacterial small subunit ribosomal RNA", at positions 523 to 796 of the family's 1533-position model. The record is from RNAcentral.